CAGUCGCCACGGGAAUUCGUAGGUGGCGAGCGUUGUCCGGAAUUAUUGGGCGUAAAGGGAGCGCAGGCGGACAUAUAAGUCCAUCUUAAAAGUGCGGGGCUCAACCCCGUGAGGGGAUGGAAACUGUAUGCCUUGAGUGCAGGAGAGGAAAGCGGAAUUCCCAGUGUAGCGGUGAAAUGCGUAGAUAUUGGGAGGAACACCAGUGGCGAAGGCGGCUUUCUGGACUGUAACUGACGCUGAGGCUCGAAAGCCAGGGGAGCGAACGGGAUUAGAUACCCCCGUAGUCCCUGUCUCUUAUACA
RNAcentral lists this ribosomal RNA (301 nucleotides) under uncultured bacterium. RNAcentral describes it as "partial 16S ribosomal RNA". It matches the Rfam family "Bacterial small subunit ribosomal RNA", at positions 509 to 809 of the family's 1533-position model. The record is from RNAcentral.